This 305-nucleotide ribosomal RNA is filed under the name uncultured bacterium. Its description in RNAcentral is "partial 16S ribosomal RNA". It matches the Rfam family "Bacterial small subunit ribosomal RNA", at positions 337 to 644 of the family's 1533-position model. The record is from RNAcentral.
UCCUACGGGGGGCAGCAGUGGGGAAUAUUGCACAAUGGGGGAAACCCUGAUGCAGCGACGCCGCGUGAGUGAAGGAGUAUCUCGGUACGUAAAGCUCUAUCAGCAGGGAAGAAAAAAAGUCUUUGGCUUUGGACGGUACCUGACUAAGAAGCCCCGGCUAACUACGUGCCAGCAGCCGCGGUAAUACGUAGGGGGCAAGCGUUAUCCGGAUUUACUGGGUGUAAAGGGAGCGUAGACGGCAGCGCAAGUCUGGAGUGAAAUGCCGGGGCUCAACCCCGGAACUGCUUCGGAAACUGGGCAGCUAG